GACGAACGCUGGCGGCGUGCUUAACACAUGCAAGUCGAACGGAAAGGCCCUGCUUUUGUGGGGUUCUCGAGUGGCGAACGGGUGAGUAACACGUGAGUAACCUGCCCUUGACUUUGGGAUAACUUCAGGAAACUGGGGCUAAUACCGGAUAGGAUCUCCUGCUGCAUGGUGGGGGUUGGAAAGUUUCGGCGGUUGGGGAUGGACUCGCGGCUUAUCAGCUUGUUGGUGGGGUAGUGGCUUACCAAGGCUUUGACGGGUAGCCGGCCUGAGAGGGUGACCGGCCACAUUGGGACUGAGAUACGGACCAGACUCCUACGGGAGGCAGUAGUGGGGAAUAUUGCACAAUGGGCGGAAGCCUGAUGAAGAAACGCCGCGUGCGGGAUGACGGCCUUCGGGUUGUAAACCGCUUUAGCCUGUGACGAAGCGUGAGUGACGGUAAUGGGUAAAGAAGCACCGGCUAACUACGUG
Molecule: ribosomal RNA, 468 nt
Filed under: uncultured bacterium
Lineage: Bacteria
Description: partial 16S ribosomal RNA
Rfam family: Bacterial small subunit ribosomal RNA
Source: RNAcentral